Molecule: ribosomal RNA, 282 nt
Filed under: Triticum aestivum (bread wheat)
Lineage: Eukaryota; Viridiplantae; Streptophyta; Magnoliopsida; Poales; Poaceae
Description: partial small subunit ribosomal RNA
Source: RNAcentral
AUGAGUUAUGAGUUACUCACUUGGUGCCAUUCCACCAUUGCUCCACCACAACCCAACGACCUCUUCUUGGAGUGGUGGUCCGCCACGUCCCCUUCCUCCUGCCGAAAAGGGCUCUCUUCCCUCUUCCCUCUGACGGCAUGGUACCUUUGGAAGCAUCGGAAUGGAUGCGUGUUCGACGGUCCACACCCCUCCCUGAGCCACCACCUACAGCUCAUCAAGGAUGAAGCUCGGCUAUGGGCGCAAGCGGGUGCUUUUGGCUUGGCCAACAUCAUUAGGGAGUAG